RNAcentral lists this ribosomal RNA (300 nucleotides) under uncultured beta proteobacterium. Its description in RNAcentral is "bacterial SSU rRNA". It matches the Rfam family "Bacterial small subunit ribosomal RNA", at positions 114 to 415 of the family's 1533-position model. The record is from RNAcentral. Lineage: Bacteria; Pseudomonadati; Pseudomonadota; Betaproteobacteria.
UACAUCGGAACGUGUCCUGUUGUGGGGGAUAACCCACCGAAAGGUGAGCUAAUACCGCAUGAUCUGGAGACAGCAAAGCAGGGGACCCGCAAGGGCCUUGCGCGAUUGGAGCGGCCGAUGUCCGAUUAGCUAGUUGGCGGGGUAAAGGCCCACCAAGGCGACGAUCGGUAGCUGGUCUGAGAGGAUGAUCAGCCACACUGGGACUGAGACACGGCCCAGACUCCUACGGGAGGCAGCAGUGGGGAAUUUUGGACAAUGGGGGCAACCCUGAUCCAGCCAUGCCGCGUGAGUGAAGAAGGC